GUUUUUCAUAUAUGUAUCUAUCCUUUUCUUGAGGUCUAAUUUCCUGUUGCCAUUUUUUGGUUUUGUUUUACCACCGUCUAUAAUGUGCCCCUUCUCUGCGCAUUUGCUUGUCGUGUUGGUCCAAAAGCAUUCAAACAUAGAUGGUAGUCAAAGUCAGCAGCUUUUGAGCAAGAAAAGAGAAGAAACUAUCAAACAAACAUAGUUCUCAAAACUUGAAAAUGACAA
Molecule: unclassified non-coding RNA, 225 nt
Filed under: Hevea brasiliensis (rubber tree)
Lineage: Eukaryota; Viridiplantae; Streptophyta; Magnoliopsida; Malpighiales; Euphorbiaceae
Source: RNAcentral